Molecule: ribosomal RNA, 505 nt
Filed under: uncultured bacterium
Lineage: Bacteria
Description: partial 16S ribosomal RNA
Rfam family: Bacterial small subunit ribosomal RNA
Source: RNAcentral
GACGAACGCUGGCGGCGUGCCUAAUACAUGCAAGUAGAACGCACAGUUUAUACCGUAGCUUGCUACGCCAUAGACUGUGAGUUGCGAACGGGUGAGUAACGCGUAGGUAACCUGCCUGGCAGCGGGGGAUAACUAUUGGAAACGAUAGCUAAUACCGCAUAAUAUUAAUUAUUGCAUGAUAAUUAAUUGAAAGGUGCAAUUGCACCACUACCAGAUGGACCUGCGUUGUAUUAGCUAGUAGGGGAGGUAACGGCUCACCUAGGCGACGAUACAUAGCCGACCUGGGAGGGUGAUCGGCCACACUGGGACUGAGACCCGGCCCAGACUCCUACGGGAGGCAGCAGUAGGGAAUCUUCGGCAAUGGACGAAAGUCUGACCGAGCAACGCCGCGUGAGUGAAGAAGGUUUUCGGAUCGUAAAGCUCUGUUGUAAGAGAAGAACGGGUGUGAGAGUGGAAAGUUCACACUGUGACGGUAUCUUACCAGAAAGGGACGGCUAACUACGUG